RNAcentral lists this long non-coding RNA (1161 nucleotides) under Papio anubis (olive baboon). RNAcentral describes it as "lncRNA (ENSPANG00000049619.1)". Lineage: Eukaryota; Metazoa; Chordata; Mammalia; Primates; Cercopithecidae. The record is from RNAcentral.
AUGUGGGCCUCCCUCCUCGCAUUUUCCGCGGUGGAAACUGAGGCUCUGAGAGGACCCAAGCCGUUCCUCCACGGACACCCGGCGCCCAUGGGCGGGGACUGCCAGGGACCCAGGCGGGACCAGCUAGGCCUUGGGCUGGCCCCGGUCCAGAGGGCUAUUGGUGGGCAGGAGCCGCCCCCACGCCCUCCCCGACUAAACAGGUCACCGAGAGGAGGCCGGGCCCUUGCCCGCGGGCUUCCCGGGCCGCGAGAGGCGCAAUUCUGGCAUUGGAGGCUCCAGGGAACUCCAGAAAUCCCAGAGAGAUUCCGGGCCACCAACUCCCCAGAAAGUUGGCUCGCGGCCACCCCCAAGACGGCCCUGAGGCGCGGGCCAAGAUGGUACUGGGCGGGCGGCGUACUGCGCCCAGCGGCCGCGGAGGAGAACCUCGCGCGACCCGGCCGUGGGGUAGGGGGUCUUCGCUGCCCCUGCCCGGCGCGCGCCGGCCUCGACGCCUUCCGCCGCACGCCGGGUGGGCACGCGCGCUCAGCCCUUCCCAGCGCCCGCCCCCGCCACGCGCCCCGCCCCGCCGCGCGCCGCCCGCCCGCCCGCGCCGCGGCAGAGCCUCCCAUUGGCCGCGCGCCGUCACCUGACGUCUGUUCCUGUGUGUUGGAAUGGAGAAAAACCCGAGCCGAGCCGCCUUCGGCCCUGCGAGGCGGCCGCGGCCUCCGCCAGGGAGCCGCCUGGGCGCGCGCCGACCGGGGGCAGCGCGCGAGGCGGGCGAGCCUCGAGGGGCCGCGGCCCCGGCCAGCCCCGCCGCCGGCCCGGGCGCCCGAGCUGGAGGCGGCGGAGCCACCCCACCCCCACCCACUUGCAGCGCCAUAUAAAUCAUACUGCUCCCUCCCCUCCCGCCCCGGCGAGGCCAGGAACUGGGCGGGGGCUCCAGCAGGUAACCGUCGCCCGGGCCUGAGGGGCAAGGAGAGGGUCGGGCCUGAGGGACUGGGGCCGGGCCGGGGUGUCCGGCCUGGGGGGCUGGGAGCAGAGGUCCUGGCAGGACCCAACCUGGGAAUGCGGAGCCUCCUGGACUCCAAGCCAGGGCUUGAGGUGCUGAGGGGAGUGUUGCUGCCCGGCCCGACACGAGAGUGCGGGCAGGGGCCCGGGCCAGGCCUGGCGUCAGAGGGCUGA